GGGGAACUGAAACAUCUAAGUACCCAUAGGAAGAGAAAAUAAACAAUGAUUUCUGUAGUAGUGGCGAGCGAACCAGAAAGAGCCCAAACCAUAAGUAGAAAUACAUAUGGGGUACGGACUACCAUAAACUACUAACAAGUCUAAUAGAAUCAUCUGGGAAGGUGAACCAAAGACGGUGAAAGUCCAGUAUAUGAAAGAUAAGUUAGGGUAGGUAGAAUCCAGAGUAGUGCGAGACACAGGGAAUCUCGUAUGAAAGAGCGGGGACCAUCCCGUAAGGCUAAAUACUACUUGGUAACCGAUAGUGAACGAGUACCGUGAGGGAAAGGUGAAAAGGACCCCGGGAGGGGAGUGAAAGAGAACCUGAAACCCUAUGUUUACAAGCAGAUAGAGCGAUUUAAGGCGCGAUAUCGUACUUUUUGUAGAACGGUCCAGCGAGUUAUUGUAUGUGGCGAGGUUAAAUUCUAAGAAGGAAUGGAGCCGAAGAGAAAUCGAGUCUGAAAAGGGCGAAUAAGUCAUAUAUAAUAGACCCGAAACCGGGUGACCUAUCCAUGGUCAGGAUGAAGCUAAAGUAAAAUUUAGUGGAGGUCCGAACUGAUUGUCGUUAAAAAGGCACCGGAUGAACUGUGGAUAGCGGAGAAAUUCCAAUCGAACUCGGAGAUAGCUGGUUCUCCUCGAAAUAGCUUUAGGGCUAGCCUUGAGGUAAAACAUGUGGGGGUAGAGCACUGAAUGAUUUAGGGGCCAAACCAGGUUACCGACAUCUAUCAAACUGCGAAUACCAUGUGGAAGUACUCAGGAGUCAGACUGCGGGAGCUAAGUUCCGUGGUCAAAAGGGAAAGAGCCCAGACCGACAAUUAAGGUCCCAAAGAGAUAGUUAAGUGGAAAACGAUGUGAAAAUGCAAAGACAACCAGGAUGUUGGCUUAGAAGCAGCCAUACAUUAAAAGAGUGCGUAACAGCUCACUGGUCGAGUGAAUUUGCGCGGAAAAUUACCGGGGCUAAACUAUCCACCGAAAUUACGGAUUGCAGUACAUUUAACAAUGUAUGCGGAAAGAGAAAAGAAGAAAGAAGUAUAUAUUGUUAAGUGUACUGUAGUGGUAGAGGAGCAUUCUGUAGUAGGAAGAAGCUAAAGCGAGAGCAUUAGUGGACGAGACAGAAGAGAGAAUGCUGGAAUAAGUAGCGAGAGCAAGGUGAGAAUCCUUGCCGUCGAAAGUCUAAGGUUUCCUGGGGAAGGUUCGUCCGCCCAGGGUAAGUCGGGACCUAAGGAGAGGCCGAGAAGGCGUAUCUGAUGGACAGCAGGUUGAAAUUCCUGCACUACCGAUACUUUUAAAAACGUCAAGGGACGCAGGAGAGGAAGGAAAGCGAGGAAGAGGAAAGACUCGUAUCGAAAGAUAUAGUGAAAAAAUGAAGUAACGAAUUUCCAAGAAUCACACUGACGAGAAAAGCUUGAUGACAUUAAGUAAAGGUACCCGUACCGCAAACCGACACAGGUAGAUGAGGAGAGGAUCCUAAGACGAACGGGAGAAGCAUUGUUAAGGAACUCGGCAAAAUGACCCCGUAACUUCGGGAGAAGGGGAACCUAGGUAAAACUAGGUCGCAGAGAAAAGGCCCAAGCAACUGUUUAACAAAAACACAGGUUUCUGCUAAAUCGAAAGAUGAAGUAUAGGAGCUGACGCCUGCCCAGUGCUGGAAGGUCAAGGGGAGAUGUUAGAAGAAAUUCGAAGCAUAGAACCAAAGCCCCAGUGAACGGCGGCCGUAACUAUAACGGUCCUAAGGUAGCGAAAUUCCUUGUCAGGUAAGUUCUGACCCGCACGAAAGGCGUAAUGAUUUGGGCACUGUCUCGACAAUGUACCCGGCGAAAUUGUAGUACUAGUGAAGAUGCUAGUUACCUGCGACAAGACAGAAAGACCCCAUGGAGCUUUACUGUAGUUUGAUAUUGGGUUUUGGUAAUUUAUGUACAGGAUAGGUGGGAGACAGAGAAGGAUGUGCGUCAGCAUAUCUGGAGUCAACGUUGGGAUACCACUCUUAAGUUAUUGAAAUUCUAACUUGUGAUCAUAAACUGGUCAGAGGACAAUGUCAGACGGGCAGUUUGACUGGGGCGGUCGCCUC
This 2104-nucleotide ribosomal RNA is filed under the name human gut metagenome. Its description in RNAcentral is "bacterial LSU rRNA". It matches the Rfam family "Bacterial large subunit ribosomal RNA", at positions 187 to 2289 of the family's 2925-position model. The record is from RNAcentral.